GAUGAACGCUGGCGGCGUGCCUAAUACAUGCAAGUCGAGCGAACAGACGAGGAGCUUGCUCCUCUGACGUCAGCGGCGGACGGGUGAGUAACACGUGGAUAACCUACCUAUAAGACUGGGAUAACUUCGGGAAACCGGAGCUAAUACCGGAUAAUAUAUUGAACCGCAUGGUUCAAUAGUGAAAGACGGUUUUGCUGUCACUUAUAGAUGGAUCCGCGCCGCAUUAGCUAGUUGGUAAGGUAACGGCUUACCAAGGCAACGAUGCGUAGCCGACCUGAGAGGGUGAUCGGCCACACUGGAACUGAGACACGGUCCAGACUCCUACGGGAGGCAGCAGUAGGGAAUCUUCCGCAAUGGGCGAAAGCUUGACGGAGCAACGCCGCGUGAGUGAUGAAGGUCUUCGGAUCGUAAAACUCUGUUAUUAGGGAAGAACAAAUGUGUAAGUAACUAUGCACGUCUUGACGGUACCUAAUCAGAAAGCCACGGCUAACUACGUG
This 497-nucleotide ribosomal RNA is filed under the name uncultured bacterium. RNAcentral's name for it is "partial 16S ribosomal RNA". It matches the Rfam family "Bacterial small subunit ribosomal RNA", at positions 28 to 507 of the family's 1533-position model. The record is from RNAcentral.